This 216-nucleotide ribosomal RNA is filed under the name Glomeromycotina sp. RNAcentral describes it as "partial small subunit ribosomal RNA". The stretch from base 75 to 216 matches the Rfam family "Eukaryotic small subunit ribosomal RNA", at positions 721 to 864 of the family's 1831-position model. The record is from RNAcentral. Lineage: Eukaryota; Fungi; Glomeromycota.
GGGUCAGUAGGUUGGUCGUGCCACCGGUACGUACUGGUCUCACUGAUUCCUCCUUCCCGAAGAACCGUAAUGCCAUUAAUUUGGUGUUGCGGGGAAACAGGACUGUUACCUUGAAAAAAUUAGAGUGUUUAAAGCAAGCUAACGCUUGAAUACAUUAGCGUGGAAUAAUGAAAUAGGACGAUCGAUCCUAUUUUGUUGGUUUCUAGGAUUGACGUA